AACCUGAGAAACCCGAAAUAUCGAAUGGGGAGACUCAUCGUCAGCGUAUUUGGCUUGCACGUGGUGCGCGAUGUUUGAGACGGUACCUCGUGUAUUUGUUGAUUUCACGCGUCCGCUGCAUGUCCGAUUGCGUCGGCGUGCACUUCUCCUCUAGUAGAACGUCGCGACCCGUUGGGUGUCGGUUUAAGGGCCGAGAUCGUCGACUGUUCCGUCGCUUCGGCGCACGGUUACAGACGCUUGGACCCCCGACCGGCUGCUCGACGGUAACAACAUGGUAUCGAGCCGCACUCGAAUGCGUUCAGACUCGUCGCAAGCUGGACCAUUGUUAGACCUGGAUGUACGGACCUGGUGCCGUCCCCGGGGAUGGUUAGCUGUUGGUAGACGAUGUUCUCGAACCGGCUUAACUCGAACAACGAUACUUGUCGGCGACGCUAUUGCUUUGGGUACUUUCAGGACCCGUCUUGAAACACGGACCAAGGAGUCUAACAUGUGCGCGAGUCAUUGGGACUAUGAAACCUAAAGGCGCAUUGAAAGAGAAGAUCGACCUCGCGUCGAUUGAGGGAGGAUGUGCGAUGUCACGAUAUCGCUCCGCACUCCCGGGGCGUCUCGUUGUCAUUGCGACAUGAGGCGCACCCAGAGCGUACACGUUGGGACCCGAAAGAUGGUGAACUAUGCCUGGUCAGGACGAAGUCAGGGGAAACCCUGAUGGAGGUCCGUAGCGAUUCUGACGUGCAAAUCGAUCGUCGGAACUGGGUAUAGGGGCGAAAGACUAAUC
RNAcentral lists this ribosomal RNA (775 nucleotides) under Duta sp. OSUC 181556. RNAcentral's name for it is "partial 28S ribosomal RNA". It matches the Rfam family "Eukaryotic large subunit ribosomal RNA", at positions 386 to 936 of the family's 3401-position model. Lineage: Eukaryota; Metazoa; Arthropoda; Insecta; Hymenoptera; Scelionidae. The record is from RNAcentral.